Molecule: transfer RNA, 83 nt
Filed under: Candidatus Borkfalkia ceftriaxoniphila
Lineage: Bacteria; Bacillati; Bacillota; Clostridia; Christensenellales; Christensenellaceae
Description: Candidatus Borkfalki ceftriaxensis tRNA-Leu
Rfam family: tRNA
About the family: Transfer RNA (tRNA) molecules are approximately 80 nucleotides in length. Their secondary structure includes four short double-helical elements and three loops (D, anti-codon, and T loops).
Source: RNAcentral
GCGAGUGUGUUGGAACUGGCAGACAAGAUAGACUUAGAAUCUAUUGCUUCGGCGUGCAGGUUCAAAUCCUGUCACUCGCACCA